This 250-nucleotide ribosomal RNA is filed under the name uncultured bacterium. RNAcentral's name for it is "partial 16S ribosomal RNA". It matches the Rfam family "Bacterial small subunit ribosomal RNA", at positions 524 to 773 of the family's 1533-position model. The record is from RNAcentral.
UACAGAGGUCCCAAGCGUUGUUCGGAUUCACUGGGCGUAAAGGGUGCGUAGGUGGCUGGGUAAGUUUGAUGUGAAAUCUCCGGGCUCAACCCGGAAAAUGCAUUGAAUACUAUCCAGCUCGAGGUUUGGAGGGGGGACUGGAAUUCUUGGUGUAGCAGUGAAAUGCGUAGAUAUCAAGAGGAACACCAGUGGCGAAGGCGAGUCCCUGGACAAAUCCUGACACUGAGGCACGAAAGCUAGGGGAGCAAAC